CUCUCUCUCUCUCCCCCCUCCCAACUACCCACAUUCCCUCCAACGUCUCUCUCUCUCUCAGCCCAAGAAAUCUGACGGCCGGGAAAAAUGGCGGAGAUGGAGGAAGGCCUCCGCGACCCAGAGCAGCAAGAAGAGGAGCAGCCAUGGGAGGAAAGAACUCUAAGCCGCCUCCAAGACUCCAAGAUCGAUCAUGGUCCCCCGCUCCCCAUGUUUCCACCCCCUUUCUUUCUUUCUUUCUUUCUUCCAUCUUGAUACUUUGAUGGCGCUCUCUCUUUCCUUUUGGCGGGUUUCCAGAGCUCUCCGGGGCGAAGGAGCGGAAAGAGUUGGGGGCAAGAAGCACAAGGUGAAGUGGAUGAAGAGGCCAAUGACCAUGCCCCAGGCCAUCAUCGAGUUCCUCGACGAAGAUCUUCGGGAGAACGCCUCCAGAUACCUAAGCAGCUACCUCGUCGAGAGUUGCAAGGAAUGUUGUGGACCGUGGAGUUAUAAUUUGUUACUUUUUACUGUGUAAGCAUUUUGAAUAUUUUGUUGUU
Molecule: non-coding RNA, 530 nt
Organism: Phoenix dactylifera (date palm)
Lineage: Eukaryota; Viridiplantae; Streptophyta; Magnoliopsida; Arecales; Arecaceae
Source: RefSeq, a predicted model, not a curated record